GAUGAACGCUAGCGACAGGCUUAACACAUGCAAGUCGAGGGGCAGCACGGUGUAGCAAUACAUUGGUGGCGACCGGCGCACGGGUGAGUAACGCGUAUGCAACCUACCUAUCAGAGGGGAAUAACCCGGCGAAAGUCGGACUAAUACCGCAUAAAACAGGGGUUCCACAUGGAAAUAUUUGUUAAAGAUUUAUCGCUGAUAGAUGGGCAUGCGUUCCAUUAGAUAGUUGGUGAGGUAACGGCUCACCAAGUCUACGAUGGAUAGGGGUUCUGAGAGGAAGGUCCACCACACUGGUAAUGAGACACGGACCAGACUCCUACGGGAGGCAGCAGUGAGGAAUAUUGGUCAAUGGGCGAGAGCCUGAACCAGCCAAGUCGCGUGAAGGAUGAAGGAUCUAUGGUUUGUAACCUUCUUUUAUAUGGGAAUAAAGUGAGGAACGUGUUCCUUUUUGUAUGUACCAUAUGAAUAAGCAUCGGCUAACUCCGUGCCAGCAGCCGCCGUAA
Molecule: ribosomal RNA, 503 nt
Filed under: uncultured bacterium
Lineage: Bacteria
Description: partial 16S ribosomal RNA
Rfam family: Bacterial small subunit ribosomal RNA
Source: RNAcentral